CAGCCGCCGCGGUAAUACGUAGGGUGCAAGCGUUAAUCGGAAUUACUGGGCGUAAAGCGUGCGCAGGCGGUUAUAUAAGACAGAUGUGAAAUCCCCGGGCUCAACCUGGGAAAUGCAUUUGUGACUGUAUAGCUAGAGUACGGCAGAGGGGGAUGGAAUUCCGCGUGUAGCAGUGAAAUGCGUAGAUAUGCGGAGGAACACCGAUGGCGAAGGCAAUCCCCUGGGCCUGUACUGACGCUCAUGCACGAAAGCGUGGGGAGCAAACAGGAUUAGAUACCCCAGUAGUCCCUGUCUCUUAUAC
This 301-nucleotide ribosomal RNA is filed under the name uncultured bacterium. RNAcentral's name for it is "partial 16S ribosomal RNA". It matches the Rfam family "Bacterial small subunit ribosomal RNA", at positions 509 to 807 of the family's 1533-position model. The record is from RNAcentral.